GUGCCAGCAGCCGCGGUAACACGUAGGGGGCAAGCGUUGUCCGGAUUUAUUGGGCGUAAAGAGCUCGUAGGUGGCUGAGUAAGUCGGGUGUCAAAGCCCCAGGCUCAACCUGGGAUCCCACCCGAUACUGCUCUGGCUAGAGUCCGGUAGGGGAGCGUGGAAUUCCUGGUGUAGCGGUGAAAUGCGCAGAUAUCAGGAGGAACACCAGCGGCGAAGGCGGCGCUCUGGGCCGGUACUGACACUGAGGAGCGAAAGCGUGGGUAGCAAACAGGAUUAGAAACCCUAGUAGUCC
Molecule: ribosomal RNA, 292 nt
Filed under: uncultured bacterium
Lineage: Bacteria
Description: partial 16S ribosomal RNA
Rfam family: Bacterial small subunit ribosomal RNA
Source: RNAcentral